CAUGGCAGCACGGCAGCACGGCUCCCCCCCGGCCCGCUCGCCGCUUAAGCGGCGGCGCUUGAAACCCCUCCCCGGGCGGGCCCAGGCCCGGCCCGCCCCCGCCCCCGGCUCCCGCUCCGGCCCCGAAACCCGUCCCGUGGGGCCAAGCCCGCAAUCCCGGCACCGCUUUUCCGCUGCUCGCCGAAGCUGCCGUCCCGAGCGCUGCGGCAUCACCCUCUGCCUCCACAGCCGGUGCCUCUCUGCGAGGUGCAAUGCGCGGCUCGGCCACAACACGGUGGUUUUAAACGGGCAUCGAGAGGAACGCGAGGCCCCGAGGGAGGUGCUGCUCGAUGAGGCCUCCAGCACCAUCACACCUGCCUCAAAGAUGCCGUCUCUCCAGCAGCAUACUGGGGUACGCUGAGAAAUCUUACUCUAGUUGCCUCCAGGCUGUGUAACCGGGGGCCUGAUGUCGCAGUGGGCACUGAGAGAUGGGUUCAUCAGUGAUCGCACAGUGCUUGGCCAAAGCAGUGAGGCCACCAUGGGACCCCCCCCCCCCGAAGGAGUGGGUCAAAAAGAAGGUGAAGAGUUACAGGUGCGUCAUUUAUAUGAGGUCAUCCUGGAAAGGUUUCUGUUUGUCAGUGUUACAAAGCAUCUACUCUGCAGAAAGAGACCAAUGGUUUUCUCGUUGAAAUGCUCCCAAGACCUUGAUUUAGCUGUUAUGAAAGAUGUUUUGUUAAUGAAUAUCUGGCAUUGUUUUCAACUAAAUAUUCUGUCACCAAACUUUGAUUAAAAAACUUGUUUUAUAAAUUUUAAUAGCUAUUUCUUUAGGAAACAGAGGGAUAAAGAAACUAUUUCUGUAGGAGCAGAGGGAAAUGUCACUAAUUUAAACUGCUUUUUUUCCUUCGUUGCUGUUGUUAUCAUAUGUUCAGCAAUGAUUGUUGAAAAUCCACAGAUUUGUCUGAUUUUAUGCAUCUAGAUAUAUAAAUGACGGCAUCACCAUCUCUGCCCUUUUGUCUCCAUACUUUGUAUACCUCUCUUCCUUUUGGUUUCAUUAAAUUGACUAUAUUUUGUGUUUUAAACCAA
Long non-coding RNA from Dromaius novaehollandiae (emu), 1062 nucleotides. RefSeq lists it as uncharacterized. NCBI's taxonomy places the organism in Eukaryota, Metazoa, Chordata, Aves, Casuariiformes, Dromaiidae. The transcript has 2 exons. The record is from RefSeq and is a predicted model, not a curated record.